Molecule: ribosomal RNA, 333 nt
Filed under: uncultured Acidobacteriota bacterium
Lineage: Bacteria; Pseudomonadati; Acidobacteriota
Description: bacterial SSU rRNA
Rfam family: Bacterial small subunit ribosomal RNA
Source: RNAcentral
CGCGUAGGCGGCGUGGUAAGUCACUUGUGAAAUCUCCGAGCUUAACUCGGAACGGCCAAGUGAUACUGCCGUGCUAGAGUGCAGAAGGGGCAAUCGGAAUUCUUGGUGUAGCGGUGAAAUGCGUAGAUAUCAAGAGGAACACCUGAGGUGAAGACGGGUUGCUGGGCUGACACUGACGCUGAAGCGCGAAAGCCAGGGGAGCAAACGGGAUUAGAUACCCCGGUAGUCCUGGCCCUAAACGAUGAAUACUUGGUGUCUGGAGUUAUUAUUGCUCCGGGUGCCGUCGCUAACGUUUUAAGUAUUCCGCCUGGGGAGUACGCUCGCAAGAGUGAA